Magnolia sinica is the source of this 592-nucleotide long non-coding RNA. RefSeq lists it as uncharacterized. The record is from RefSeq and is a predicted model, not a curated record. The transcript has 4 exons. Lineage: Eukaryota; Viridiplantae; Streptophyta; Magnoliopsida; Magnoliales; Magnoliaceae.
UCAGUGAUUUGAUUAGUCUUUAAAAGAUAGUCGGGGAUUAAGUACCUGAGAAUGUGCAAAAAGGUGACAUGUUUAUCUUAUUUGCAACAAGCAACAUACUUAUGCUUAUCAUUUAUUUGUCCAAUGAAAUGCAUUCGUGAAUAUUGAAAUCUUUUCAGUUACUUGCAACAGGAAUGACAGAAUUCUGAAAACAAGAUCAAGAUUGUGCUUUGUUGGCCAUCAGGAGUAUACAUGUGUUGGCAUGCAUCUGCAGACACCCAAUACAACUAUUUCAUGGAAAGUCAAAACUUGAAACACAUGUUGGUGAUCCAAGCCCUUCAACACACUGGUGUCAUGAUGAAUGUGUCUUCACCUACUAUCAGUUUUGUCCAUUCAUCAGGCGAGCCACACUUAUAUUGAGAAAAUGGAUGCAGUUUUAUCCAUUCAUUAGGAUUUGCAAAAUUGGUUACAGCUUUUGCAAGAAAUGCUCACUGAUGAGAAGUAUAUAUUGAGCUGUUGAACCGUGCCAGGAAAUGUCAAUAAUGCAGCCCAAUUCAGAGUAAUGGAAGAAUCUCUGAUGAAAUCUCUUUAUUCACAUUGAGAACACUAGGCA